CAUAGGUUAAUGAGGCGAACCGGGGGAACUGAAACAUCUAAGUACCCUGAGGAAAAGAAAUCAACCGAGAUUCCCCCAGUAGCGGCGAGCGAACGGGGAGCAGCCCAGAGCCUGAAUCAGUAUGUGUGUUAGUGGAAGCGUCUGGAAAGGCGCGCGAUACAGGGUGACAGCCCCGUACACAAAAAUGCACAUGCUGUGAGCUCGAUGAGUAGGGCGGGACACGUGGUAUCCUGUCUGAAUAUGGGGGGACCAUCCUCCAAGGCUAAAUACUCCUGACUGACCGAUAGUGAACCAGUACCGUGAGGGAAAGGCGAAAAGAACCCCGGCGAGGGGAGUGAAAAAGAACCUGAAACCGUGUACGUACAAGCAGUGGGAGCACGCUUAGGCGUGUGACUGCGUACCUUUUGUAUAAUGGGUCAGCGACUUAUAUUCUGUAGCAAGGUUAACCGAAUAGGGGAGCCGAAGGGAAACCGAGUCUUAACUGGGCGUUAAGUUGCAGGGUAUAGACCCGAAACCCGGUGAUCUAGCCAUGGGCAGGUUGAAGGUUGGGUAACACUAACUGGAGGACCGAACCGACUAAUGUUGAAAAAUUAGCGGAUGACUUGUGGCUGGGGGUGAAAGGCCAAUCAAACCGGGAGAUAGCUGGUUCUCCCCGAAAGCUAUUUAGGUAGCGCCUCGUGAAUUCAUCUCCGGGGGUAGAGCACUGUUUCGGCAAGGGGGUCAUCCCGACUUACCAACCCGAUGCAAACUGCGAAUACCGGAGAAUGUUAUCACGGGAGACACACGGCGGGUGCUAACGUCCGUCGUGAAGAGGGAAACAACCCAGACCGCCAGCUAAGGUCCCAAAGUCAUGGUUAAGUGGGAAACGAUGUGGGAAGGCCCAGACAGCCAGGAUGUUGGCUUAGAAGCAGCCAUCAUUUAAAGAAAGCGUAAUAGCUCACUGGUCGAGUCGGCCUGCGCGGAAGAUGUAACGGGGCUAAACCAUGCACCGAAGCUGCGGCAGCGACGCUGAUGCGUUGUUGGGUAGGGGAGCGUUCUGUAAGCCUGCGAAGGUGUGCUGUGAGGCAUGCUGGAGGUAUCAGAAGUGCGAAUGCUGACAUAAGUAACGAUAAAGCGGGUGAAAAGCCCGCUCGCCGGAAGACCAAGGGUUCCUGUCCAACGUUAAUCGGGGCAGGGUGAGUCGACCCC
This 1188-nucleotide ribosomal RNA is filed under the name Escherichia coli. RNAcentral describes it as "partial 23S ribosomal RNA". It matches the Rfam family "Bacterial large subunit ribosomal RNA", at positions 165 to 1391 of the family's 2925-position model. The record is from RNAcentral. Lineage: Bacteria; Pseudomonadati; Pseudomonadota; Gammaproteobacteria; Enterobacterales; Enterobacteriaceae.